RNAcentral lists this microRNA precursor (69 nucleotides) under Medicago truncatula (barrel medic). RNAcentral's name for it is "MIR2629 microRNA precursor family". It matches the Rfam family "MIR2629 microRNA precursor family". The record is from Rfam by way of RNAcentral. Lineage: Eukaryota; Viridiplantae; Streptophyta; Magnoliopsida; Fabales; Fabaceae.
UGCCGAAGUUUUCCUCGGUAGUUAACUACAGCCGGUUCCAUAAUUUGACAGUUAACUGCCGAGGGACAU